This is a long non-coding RNA of Mauremys reevesii (Reeves's turtle), 281 nucleotides long. RefSeq lists it as uncharacterized. The record is from RefSeq and is a predicted model, not a curated record. Lineage: Eukaryota; Metazoa; Chordata; Testudines; Geoemydidae. The transcript is spliced from 2 exons.
AGAUACUGGUAGCUCCCUGCAGUGAGUCAUUAUAGAAGUGCAUCAAAUAACAAGCAAUGACAGCUAGCUAGUGGUGACUGAAGGCUGACAGAUGGUCAAUAAAUUCAGAACUGGCACAUUUUUGUCACUAAAAGAUAGGCUGCAACUUCCUGGAGAAUCUGCAAACAACAAGAAGGGAUUUAAAAAAAACAAUAUUAUGAGAUUUUGGCUGCAGGAUACAAAAGAAACUCAGUGUUCACUGCAUAGCACAAUGAAAUAUAAAAUGUAAUUUUCCAAUCUUU